GACGAACGCUGGCGGCAUGCCUAAUACAUGCAAGUCGAGCGGAUGUUUCAGAGAGCUUGCUCUUUGAAACGUUAGCGGCGGACGGGUGAGUAACACGUGGGCAACCUGCCCUACAGAUGGGGAUAACUCCGGGAAACCGGGGCUAAUACCGAAUAAACAGUUGGUUCGCAUGAACCAACUCUGAAAGACGGUUUCGGCUGUCACUGUAGGAUGGGCCCGCGGCGCAUUAGCUAGUUGGUGGGGUAAUGGCCUACCAAGGCGACGAUGCGUAGCCGACCUGAGAGGGUGAUCGGCCACACUGGGACUGAGACACGGCCCAG
RNAcentral lists this ribosomal RNA (320 nucleotides) under uncultured bacterium. RNAcentral's name for it is "bacterial SSU rRNA". It matches the Rfam family "Bacterial small subunit ribosomal RNA", at positions 28 to 334 of the family's 1533-position model. The record is from RNAcentral.